Molecule: ribosomal RNA, 681 nt
Filed under: Triticum aestivum (bread wheat)
Lineage: Eukaryota; Viridiplantae; Streptophyta; Magnoliopsida; Poales; Poaceae
Description: partial small subunit ribosomal RNA
Source: RNAcentral
AUGGUGCGGUUCCUCCGGCGGCAUAGCCUUGACAAGAGCAACUCGCACACCCACCUACGGAAGGAGGAGGAAGAGAGCAACAGCUGUAUAGAAAGCGACACGGCGGAGAUGCAAGAGCCCGGUGGCAAUGGUGGCGGGGGUGCUCCCCCGCUGCCCAACGGCCGGACGGCGCCUCGCUCCCGUCUCGCACGCGACGGGCCGCCCUCAGAUUUGGACGUGAUGAAGGAGAGAUUCGCGAAGCUGCUGCUUGGAGAGGACAUGUCAGGGACCGGGAAAGGCGUGCCGUCGGCUCUAGCGCUGUCCAACGCCAUCACCAACCUGGCCGCGUCCGUCUUUGGGGAGCACCGCAAGCUGGAACCCAUGGCGCCGGACACCAAGGAGCGGUGGAAGAAGGAGGUCGGCUGGUUGCUGUCCGUCACGGACCACAUCGUCGAGUUUGUCCCGACAAGACAGACCGCCGAGAACGGUACUACCAUGGAGAUCAUGUCGACAGCGCAGCGUCGCGACCUGCAGAUAAACAUCCCCGCUCUGCGCAAGCUGGACGCCAUGCUCAUUGUAAGCGCUAUUACCUUAUUAGAUUUAGCUAGGCAUCUUCAACGGCAACCUGCAAAAAACCUCCCUCAUUCAUCUAUAGACAGGGAAGGGGAGCCUUGGCGCAGUGGUAAAGCUGCUGCCUUGUGA